UACGUAGGGGGCUAGCGUUGUCCGGAAUCAUUGGGCGUAAAGAGCGUGUAGGCGGUCAGGUAGGUCGGUUGUGAAAACUGGAGGCUCAACCUUCAGAGGUCGACCGAAACCCCCUGGCUAGAGUCCGGGAGAGGAGAGUGGAAUUCCUGGUGUAGCGGUGAAAUGCGCAGAUAUCAGGAAGAACACCCGUGGCGAAAGCGGCUCUCUGGAACGGUACUGACGCUGAGACGCGAAAGCGUGGGGAGCGAACAGG
This 253-nucleotide ribosomal RNA is filed under the name uncultured bacterium. RNAcentral's name for it is "partial 16S ribosomal RNA". It matches the Rfam family "Bacterial small subunit ribosomal RNA", at positions 524 to 776 of the family's 1533-position model. The record is from RNAcentral.